Long non-coding RNA from Cornus florida, 467 nucleotides. RefSeq lists it as uncharacterized. The record is from RefSeq and is a predicted model, not a curated record. The transcript is spliced from 2 exons. NCBI's taxonomy places the organism in Eukaryota, Viridiplantae, Streptophyta, Magnoliopsida, Cornales, Cornaceae.
CCCCCCCCCCCCUUACACCACACACACUCUCCUCAAACUCGCCUACACCAUCGCCACUCCUCCGUCGCUGUGAAACUCUAGAAGAAAGCAACAGUUAUGGGUGAGGUGGUGAGCAAGGUUGAAAGUGAACUACUGUGCAGGUCUUAUAUCUACAUAUAUUUGGGAGAGGAUCCUUUUGACAAGGAAGCCAAAGAGAAAUAUGGGACGUCCAUGCUUUAAAGAGAGAGCUAGAAAGUUCUCUCUCUUUUAAAGAGAUAGCUUCUAGCUAUCUAUUUAUUUGAAUAUAGACAUAUAAGGUUAUCCAGAAAUUUAUUUUAUUAUUUAAUUUGAAGUAUUCGAUUUUUUGUUAAUUUUCUAAUAUAAGCUACAGAGGUGGGCAAUAAAGAAAGACUAUAAAGAUGCUACUAAUAUCUUUUGAAUUAGUUCCACUUUCCUUGUAUUUUAUAUAAACACUUGUUUGUUGAGUA